UACGUAGGGGCCGAGCGUUGUCCGGAGUUAUUGGGCGUAAAGCGCGCGCAGGCGGCCUCGCGCGCCCGACGUGAAAGCCCCCGGCUUAACCGGGGAGGGUCGUUGGGGACGGCGGGGCUUGAGGGCGGGAGAGGGUGGUGGAAUUCCCGGUGUAGUGGUGAAAUGCGUAGAGAUCGGGAGGAACACCCGUGGCGAAGGCGAGUCUCUGGACAUUUCCUGACGCUGAGGCACGAAAGCCAGGGGAGCAAACGGG
RNAcentral lists this ribosomal RNA (253 nucleotides) under uncultured bacterium. RNAcentral's name for it is "partial 16S ribosomal RNA". It matches the Rfam family "Bacterial small subunit ribosomal RNA", at positions 524 to 776 of the family's 1533-position model. The record is from RNAcentral.